GACGAACGCUGGCGGCGUGCCUAACACAUGCAAGUCGAGCGAGGUCCACUCAGUAGCAAUACUGAUGAAGACCUAGCGGCGAACGGGUGAGUAACACGUGAGAAACCUGCCCCAAAGACUGGGAUAACCCGGGGAAACCCGAGCUAAUACCGGAUACCUUCUUUUGACCGCAUGGUCAGUUGAAGAAAUGUUUUUUCGCUUUGGGAGGGUCUCGCGGCCUAUCAGUUAGUUGGUGGGGUAACGGCCUACCAAGACAUCGACGGGUAGCUGGUCUGAGAGGACGAUCAGCCACACUGGGACUGAGACACGGCCCAGACUCCUACGGGAGGCUG
RNAcentral lists this ribosomal RNA (332 nucleotides) under uncultured Actinomycetes bacterium. RNAcentral's name for it is "bacterial SSU rRNA". It matches the Rfam family "Bacterial small subunit ribosomal RNA", at positions 28 to 351 of the family's 1533-position model. The record is from RNAcentral. Lineage: Bacteria; Bacillati; Actinomycetota; Actinomycetes.